This 546-nucleotide ribosomal RNA is filed under the name uncultured Ascomycota. RNAcentral describes it as "LSU rRNA". It matches the Rfam family "Eukaryotic large subunit ribosomal RNA", at positions 399 to 964 of the family's 3401-position model. The record is from RNAcentral. Lineage: Eukaryota; Fungi; Ascomycota.
GUGAAAUUGUUGAAAGGGAAGCGCUUGCCAUCAGAAUCGGUGCCGGUCGAUCAACGUUCCUUCUGGGUCGUGCACUCGGCCGGUUUCCGUGCCAGCAUCGGUCGCCGCGGCGGGACAAAGACGGCGGGAAAGUGGCUCCCCUCGGGGAGUGUUAUAGCCCGCCGUGCAAUACCGCCAGCGGCAACCGAGGACCGCGCUUUUGCUUGGAUGCUGGCCUAAUGGUUGUAAGCGACCCGUCUUGAAACACGGACCAAGGAGUCUAACAUCUACGCGAGUGUUCGGGUGGAAAACCCGUACGCGGAAUGAAAGUGAACGGAGGUGAGAGCCCUCGCGGGUGCAUCAUCGACCGAUCCUGAUGUCUUCGGAUGGAUUUGAGUAGGAGCGUAGCUGUUGGGACCCGAAAGAUGGUGAACUAUGCCUGAAUACGGUGAAGCCAGAGGAAACUCUGGUGGAGGCUCGCAGCGGUUCUGACGUGCAAAUCGAUCGUCAAAUUUGGGUAUAGGGGCGAAAGACUAAUCGAACCAUCUAGUAGCUGGUUCCUGCCGA